AAAUCACUACAUUUUGUAAGAUAGGAAGGAAUAAGCACAAAAAAAUUUAUUUUUAAAAUGAAGAAAUUAAGAUUCAGGGUCACAGAGCUGAAAAGUGACAAGCAUAAAACUUAACCAAAGUAAAAGCUAAAGCUAAUAAUACCUACAUGUUAAAUAAAUACUGGAAAUUAGUUUCAAGGAGAGUGAAAUUGAUUCUCAAAAAUGCAAUUGUUUAACCUUUAUAACCACGUUUUCUUUUGUUAUAUGUUUGCUACUCUGAUCUUUUUUUUUUUCUCCCUGUAAACAGAUACUCUGGAUCAACAAUGCUGCUGCUGCUGCUAAGUCACUUCAGUCGUGUCUGACUCUGUGCGACCCCAUAAGUGGCAGCCCAUCAGGCUCUCCCGUCCCUGGGAUUCCAGGCAAGAACACUGGAUAAACACUCCAAUGCAUAAAAGUGAAAAGUAAAAGUGAAGUCACUCUGUUGUGUCAGACUCCUAGCGACCCCACGGGCUGCAGCCUACCAGGCUCCACCAUCCACGGGAUGUUCCAGGCAAGAGUAUUGGAGUGGGUUGCCAUUGCCUUCUCCAGGAUCAACAAUGAGAUUAAACUUUUAAUCAAGGAAACUAAAAAGUGGAUGGAAGCAUGCAAAAAACUGUUUGGUGUGUAUAAUUAUAUAAAUUGUCAAUGGGAAGAGAAUUAUACCCAGAAUCUUGUCUGCUAUGUUUACUGAAACAAAAUACAUUUAUUUCUGAGCAUAUAGGAUGACAAUGCAAGCAUAAACUAUGAAUAUGAUCAGUUACAUAAGUCUCAUUAUUU
Molecule: long non-coding RNA, 795 nt
Filed under: Ovis aries (sheep)
Lineage: Eukaryota; Metazoa; Chordata; Mammalia; Artiodactyla; Bovidae
Description: lncRNA (ENSOARG00000025776.1)
Source: RNAcentral